AAAGCAAUCCACGUUUAUAACUUUAUAUUCAAAAUCCCAAAGCUCAAAUUUUCUCUCUCUUUUAUCAGAAAUUCCAAAACCUAAAAGCUUGAUUCGAUUUUGAUCGGAGUUUCUCUCUCCGAUUUGAUUCAGAUUUCAAUUGGUUCAGAUCGAAGGUGCUGCAGCUUAUGUUCAUCGACGACUACGUCUCCUCCAGCCAAAUUGAUUAACCACCGUUGUCGGCGCCAGCUUCCGAUUGUGCUUGGUCCAAUGACCUCCUGUGGCUUUUUUGUUUUUGGUUUCGUUAUGGUUUUCACCAGCUCCGGCGACUCACUGAUGGUGUGUCUAGACUGCGGCAGUGGCUUCAUCGAGGAGAUCGGCAACCCGACCCGCUCUGCCCACGUGGAUUCGUGCCGCAGGGGGAGUUCUGUUGCUGCGAUGUACAUGAUCGAAGCCAACAACCGUUCCGGUUUUAAUCAUGAUCUCUGACGGGAGCUUGGAGCUGAUUGCCAAGCCUUUCAAGAAUUUCAAGCUCCUUGUGCUUUCGUCCUGUGAGGGAUUCAGUACCGAUGGCCUUGCCUCCAUUGCGGCUAAUUGCAGGUUCAUCUCUCUGUUGUUAUGGCUAUCUAUUGCACUGUGUUUGCUGAUGUUCAUCGCUCUCUCUCUCUCUCUCUGAAUGUGAUUGCGGCUGAUUUGAUUGGAGCUGGUUUGUGCUGAUUUAGUUGCUAGGGUUUUGGGAUUUAACUAUUGAUGUUUUACAUUUGUAGAAUUCAAAAGGUACUUUGACAUGCUUGAUUUGUAGAGAAAGUUAUUGCUCAACAUUAUUGGAACACCAUCAUAUUUCAACAGUACCUGGAAAGAAGAGAUUCAAUUACAAACCACUUUGUUAUAUAACAAUUCUGUGUUUCUUUUCUUUCUAUACAGUUAUGUUGUUUGUUGUAAAAUUGACACCGGAUAGUGCAUUUCUCAUUUGUUUUACUAAAGGUCAAGAUGAUAAUGUUGAAAGUAGUUGCUCGAACUAUUGGGCUUCAUCGCUUGUUCUGUUGAAUUUCUAUCCUUAUUUUAUCAACUACAUUACAGUAUGUUAUCUGACCUAUUCAAUGAAUGUCUUUUUCUCUUGAUAAUCAAAAUGUUGUCACUGCAUGAAUUACUCGCUGCAGCAGUCCGGGCCUGUCAUGAAUCAUGAUAUGGUCAGUUAGCUACUCCUAUAUUUGAUUGGACCUCAGUAGAAGUUCAUUUUUUUUCCUGUCCCUCCAUUAACUGAAGUCCCACUUCUAUUGGAAAUGAAGCAUUAUUCAAAUUACUAGUUUGACAGUCGACUCAAUUUAAUUUGAGCAUUUGCUUAUGAGCAGGUUUGUCCUAAUGUUGUUGAACCACUUUUCAAACAAAUGGUGAACAAAUUUAUAGAUGAUCAUGCACAACCAGAGGUGUUACUCCAUAAGUGUUAUCUUCUUUUCUUUUAUUUUCCCCUUCGCCAGUCCCCUGUCUAUAUAUCUGAUCACUUUCUUUUCACAGGCCAUAGCUGUUGGACUGAAUACAACAAGGGAAAUUUGUUUACAAAUGCUUUUGAUAACGACCUAUUUAUAUUAAUUUGGUUCUGGUAUUUUCUGUAUUUCAGUCAAGGUUGCCAAUCUAAUGUUAUUAAUCAUGUAUAAUUUUGUUUCCUGCAACUAGUUGAGGACAUGAGAUUUGCUGCAAGAUCUUGCAUUAUAUAAGAAAUCACAUGCAAAAGCAGUGUCAGUAGCAGCCCAGUACCAAUUUGUGAAAACACUACUAGUCAAGCCAAUUAUGUAGGAUUAAAUAGUUUUAUCAGUUAUGAAUUAUCAAUGAUAUGAAGUUUCCUAAUUGAACACCAUAAAUCUAUACAUGGGUGACAUAACUUGUUCUGAAAAGUGGGCUUUAAGAUGGUACUAAGCCUUGGGGAAUCAUUGUUCCUUUUUUUGUUGUUUGGGUUUUUAAGUUAGUAGCCAUGGUCAGACAUGGUUUGCAUUUUGGAAAUUGGUACAGUAACAAUCUAUCAUAGAAAACAUAUACACCAAUUAAGCUCUUCUUUUCUUUUAGUUUUAUAUAUAGACUACUGAUAACGUCAUAGUUACAUGUUGAUGAUGUUGGCUUUUCUGCGUGGCUUGUUGGUUUGGUUCUUGCUGCUUGCAGCUCUUUAAUAAAGUUUUAAUUCAACCAAAAAUAGUUUGAUGAUGAUUGUGUUCUUAAAAACUGGUCCUCAUCAUAUCAUCUUCAUUAAUUCAUGAACCCGAUCGAGGAUGAAUGGCAUUUUCCAGGAUAAGGAAAACAAGGGUAGCUGCAAAAUCUUGGCCAGAAAUAACAAGCAGAUUAGAGGGCAUGCAUAUCAGCUUAAUCCUAAUGCCCCUAAAGAAAGAGUUGAUAAGAGAGUACUAUGAGCAAAAAUUUGGGCAGGAGUGCAGCUUCUUUUCUUUAUAUUGUAGUCCACUUCGAACAUGAAUCAGAUUAUCUGCUUAGUUGAAAGUUCUUGGCCCAGAAAUGUUGAAAAUGUACUUGGAUACAAUGUUGAGAGUAGUAGUGGUAGUUAAAAUGUACGAAAUCUCAAUCAGUCUGAAUUUGAAGCAGCUCUGAUUUCUGGAUGUUAAUUUAGAAGCUACUGGAGUGGCACUUAGGACAUCGGUUUUGCAGUGUGUUGGUUUCACUAGCUGUAACUUUCCUUGCAUAGUUAUAAGCAAAGAUAUCUAGAUCAAAGAGUUUGUUUGAUGAGGCCAAAACAUUUUUCAUGCACUUUUUUACUGUGCUGUUCAUGUAUACGCUUUAUAUGCAUCUGCUUUUUCUAAUACAAUUCUGAUUUUGUGU
RNA transcript from Rosa rugosa (rugosa rose), 2799 nucleotides. RefSeq lists it as uncharacterized. NCBI's taxonomy places the organism in Eukaryota, Viridiplantae, Streptophyta, Magnoliopsida, Rosales, Rosaceae. The transcript is spliced from 3 exons. The record is from RefSeq and is a predicted model, not a curated record.